This 869-nucleotide ribosomal RNA is filed under the name uncultured bacterium. Its description in RNAcentral is "bacterial SSU rRNA". It matches the Rfam family "Bacterial small subunit ribosomal RNA", at positions 1 to 886 of the family's 1533-position model. The record is from RNAcentral.
UAGAGUUUGAUCCUGGCUCAGGAUGAACGCUGGCGGCGUGCUUAACACAUGCAAGUCGAACGGUGAAGCAGAGCUUGCUCUGUGGAUCAGUGGCGAACGGGUGAGUAACACGUGAGCAACCUGCCCCUGACUCUGGGAUAAGCGCUGGAAACGGCGUCUAAUACCGGAUAUGAGCUGCGAUCGCAUGGUCAGCAGUUGGAAAGAUUUUUCGGUCUGGGAUGGGCUCACGGCCUAUCAGCUUGUUGGUGAGGUAAUGGCUCACCAAGGCGUCGACGGGUAGCCGGCCUGAGAGGGUGACCGGCCACACUGGGACUGAGACACGGCCCAGACUCCUACGGGAGGCAGCAGUGGGGAAUAUUGCACAAUGGGCGAAAGCCUGAUGCAGCAACGCCGCGUGAGGGAUGACGGCCUUCGGGUUGUAAACCUCUUUUAGCAGGGAAGAAGCGAAAGUGACGGUACCUGCAGAAAAAGCGCCGGCUAACUACGUGCCAGCAGCCGCGGUAAUACGUAGGGCGCAAGCGUUAUCCGGAAUUAUUGGGCGUAAAGAGCUCGUAGGCGGUUUGUCGCGUCUGCUGUGAAAUCCCGAGGCUCAACCUCGGGUCUGCAGUGGGUACGGGCAGACUAGAGUGCGGUAGGGGAGAUUGGAAUUCCUGGUGUAGCGGUGGAAUGCGCAGAUAUCAGGAGGAACACCGAUGGCGAAGGCAGAUCUCUGGGCCGUUACUGACGCUGAGGAGCGAAAGGGUGGGGAGCAAACAGGCUUAGAUACCCUGGUAGUCCACCCCGUAAACGUUGGGAACUAGUUGUGGGGUCCAUUCCACGGAUUCCGUGACGCAGCUAACGCAUUAAGUUCCCCGCCUGGGGAGUACGGC